CAGCCGCCGCGGGAAUACGUAGGUGGCAAGCGUUGUCCGGAAUUAUUGGGCGUAAAGCGCGCGCAGGCGGAUCAGUUAGUCUGUCUUAAAAGUUCGGGGCUUAACCCCGUGAUGGGAUGGAAACUGCUGAUCUAGAGUAUCGGAGAGGAAAGUGGAAUUCCUAGUGUAGCGGUGAAAUGCGUAGAUAUUAGGAAGAACACCAGUGGCGAAGGCGACUUUCUGGACGAAAACUGACGCUGAGGCGCGAAAGCCAGGGGAGCGAACGGGAUUAGAUACCGUGUAGUCCCUGUCUCUUAUACAC
RNAcentral lists this ribosomal RNA (301 nucleotides) under uncultured bacterium. RNAcentral's name for it is "partial 16S ribosomal RNA". It matches the Rfam family "Bacterial small subunit ribosomal RNA", at positions 509 to 810 of the family's 1533-position model. The record is from RNAcentral.